This 228-nucleotide non-coding RNA is filed under the name Coleofasciculus chthonoplastes PCC 7420. RNAcentral describes it as "Region of HEARO RNA that is 5' to ORF location". It matches the Rfam family "HNH endonuclease-associated RNA and ORF (HEARO) RNA". Lineage: Bacteria; Bacillati; Cyanobacteriota; Cyanophyceae; Coleofasciculales; Coleofasciculaceae. The record is from RNAcentral.
GUCAGGAACCUCAGCCUAAAGCCAUGAGGCUUGAAAGAGCAAUCUGACAAGCCAUUCUGACCAGCCUAAGUCUUAACUGACUACGUUUUUUGAGUCACGACACCCUGGAAUGCGAAGCUAGUUCCUUGCUCUGUCGCUGAAGGUUAAACAGUUCUAAGGUCACUGGGACAGUGCUUUCAGCCUAACAAGCUCUUGAAACAUUGGCGAAGCUAACUUUACUCGAAAGAG